Molecule: ribosomal RNA, 627 nt
Filed under: uncultured bacterium
Lineage: Bacteria
Description: bacterial SSU rRNA
Rfam family: Bacterial small subunit ribosomal RNA
Source: RNAcentral
UCGAACGGGGAUAUAUUGGAAUGAGGAUUCGUCUGAAGGAAAAUGUAUCUUAGUGGCGGACGGGUGAGUAACGCGUGGGCAACCUACCGUAUACAGGGGGAUAACACUUAGAAAUAGGUGCUAAUACCGCAUAAGCGCACAGCAGUGCAUACUGGAGUGUGAAAAGCCGAGACGGUAUACGAUGGGCCCGCGUCUGAUUAGCCAGUUGGCAGGGUAACGGCCUACCAAAGCGACGAUCAGUAGCCGGCCUGAGAGGGCGGACGGCCACAUUGGGACUGAGACACGGCCCAGACUCCUACGGGAGGCAGCAGUGGGGGAUAUUGCACAAUGGGGGGAACCCUGAUGCAGCGACGCCGCGUGAGUGAAGAAGUAAUUCGUUAUGUAAAGCUCUAUCAGCAGGGAAGAAUAAAUGACGGUACCUGAGUAAGAAGCCCCGGCUAACUACGUGCCAGCAGCCGCGGUAAUACGUAGGGGGCAAGCGUUAUCCGGAUUUACUGGGUGUAAAGGGAGCGUAGACGGCGAUGCAAGCCAGAUGUGAAAGCCCGCAGCUCAACUGCGGGAGUGCAUUUGGAACUGUAUGGCUGGAGUGCAGGAGAGGCAGGCGGAAUUCCUAGUGUAGCGGUGAAA